UACGAAGGUGGCAAGCGUUGUUCGGAUUUACUGGGCGUAAAGGGAGCGUAGGUGGUGCGGUAAGCCCUCCGGGAAAGCUUCAGGCUUAACCUGAAAAGGUCGGGGGGGGACUGCCACGCUAGAGGACGGGAGAGGAGCGCGGAAUUCCCGGUGUAGCGGUGAAAUGCGUAGAGAUCGGGGAGGAAGGCCGGUGGCGAAGGCGGCGCUCUGGAACGUUUCUGACACGUGAGGCUCGAAAGCGUGGGGGAGCAAACAGG
RNAcentral lists this ribosomal RNA (257 nucleotides) under uncultured bacterium. RNAcentral describes it as "partial 16S ribosomal RNA". It matches the Rfam family "Bacterial small subunit ribosomal RNA", at positions 524 to 776 of the family's 1533-position model. The record is from RNAcentral.